GAUGAACGCUGGCGGCGUGCCUAAUACAUGCAAGUCGAGCGAACGGACGAGAAGCUUGCUUUUCUGAUGUUAGCGGCGGGCGGGUGAGUAACACGUGGAUAACCUACCUAUAAGACUGGGAUAACUUCGGGAAACCGGAGAUAAUACCGGAUAAUAUUUUGAACCGCAUGGUUCAAAAGUGAAAGACGGUCUUGCUGUCACUUAUAGAUGGAUCCGAGCUGCAUUAGCUAGUUGGUAAGGUAACGGCUUACCAAGGCAACGAUGCAUAGCCGACCUGAGAGGGUGAUCGGCCACACUGGAACUGAGACACGGUCCAGACUCCUACGGGAGGCAGCAGUAGGGAAUCUUCCGCAAUGGGCGAAAGCCUGACGGAGCAACGCCGCGUGAGUGAUGAAGGUCUUCGGAUCGUAAAACUCUUUUAUUAGGGAAGAACAGAUGUGUAAGUAACUGUGCACAUCUUGACGGUACCUAAUCAGAAAGCCACGGCUAACUACGUG
RNAcentral lists this ribosomal RNA (497 nucleotides) under uncultured bacterium. RNAcentral describes it as "partial 16S ribosomal RNA". It matches the Rfam family "Bacterial small subunit ribosomal RNA", at positions 28 to 507 of the family's 1533-position model. The record is from RNAcentral.